Molecule: ribosomal RNA, 624 nt
Filed under: uncultured bacterium
Lineage: Bacteria
Description: bacterial SSU rRNA
Rfam family: Bacterial small subunit ribosomal RNA
Source: RNAcentral
UCUUGGACAGCCUUCUGAAAGGAAGAUUAAUACAAGAUGGCAUCAUGAGUCCACAUGUUCACAUGAUUAAAGGUAUUCCGGUAGACGAUGGGGAUGCGUUCCAUUAGAUAGUAGGCGGGGUAACGGCCCACCUAGUCUUCGAUGGAUAGGGGUUCUGAGAGGAAGGUCCCCCACAUUGGAACUGAGACACGGUCCAAACUCCUACGGGAGGCAGCAGUGAGGAAUAUUGAUCAAUGGGCGAGAGCCUGAACCAGCCAAGUAGCGUGAAGGAUGACUGCCCUAUGGGUUGUAAACUUCUUUUAUAAAGGAAUAAAGUCGGGUAUGCAUACCCGUUUGCAUGUACUUUAUGAAUAAGGAUCGGCUAACUCAGUGCCAGCAGCCGCGGUAAUACGGAGGAUGCGAGCGUUAUCCGGAUUUAUUGGGUUUAAAGGGAGCGCAGACGGGUCGUUAAGUCAGCUGUGAAAGUUUGGGGCUCAACCUUAAAAUUGCAGUUGAUACUGGCGUCCUUGAGUGCGGUUGAGGUGUGCGGAAUUCGUGGUGUAGCGGUGAAAUGCUUAGAUAUCACGAAGAACUCCGAUUGCGAAGGCAGCACACUAAUCCGUAACUGACGUUCAUGUUCGAAAG